AAGGUAUCCCAUCCUGAAAAGGGAGUAAGGCACCUGGGAGACGACCAGGUAGAUAGGCCGGGGGUGUAAGGGCUGUAAGGCCUUGAGCCGACCGGUACUAAUGAGCCGAGGGCUUGACCAA
Ribosomal RNA from Thermovenabulum gondwanense, 121 nucleotides. It matches the Rfam family "Bacterial large subunit ribosomal RNA", at positions 2806 to 2925 of the family's 2925-position model. NCBI's taxonomy places the organism in Bacteria, Bacillati, Bacillota, Clostridia, Thermosediminibacterales, Thermosediminibacteraceae. The record is from Rfam.